This 424-nucleotide ribosomal RNA is filed under the name uncultured bacterium. RNAcentral describes it as "bacterial SSU rRNA". It matches the Rfam family "Bacterial small subunit ribosomal RNA", at positions 28 to 454 of the family's 1533-position model. The record is from RNAcentral.
GAUGAACGCUGGCGGCGUGCUUAAUACAUGCAAGUCGAACGGAGACUGUAGCAAUACUGUCUUAGUGGCGAACGGGUGAGUAACGCGUUGGUGACCUGCCCCGAAGAGGGGGAUAACAGUCCGAAAGGAUUGCUAAUACCCCAUGUGGUCAUUUGGAUUAGAUGCCUUAUGACUAAACGGAUUUAUUCGCUUCGGGAGGGGCCUGCGUCCCAUCAGCUAGUUGGUAAGGUAAUGGCUUACCAAGGCUAUGACGGGUAGGGGACCUGAGAGGGUGGCCCCCCACAAUGGAACUGAAACACGGUCCAUACACCUACGGGUGGCAGCAGUAGGGAAUAUUGGUAAUCUGGGAAACCGGGAACCAGCAACGCCGCGUGCGCGAUGAAGGCCUUCGGGUUGUAAAGCGCUUUUAAAGGGAUGAGGAAGG